UACGUAGGGGGCAAGCGUUGUCCGGAAUCAUUGGGCGUAAAGCGCGUGUAGGCGGCUCGGUAAGUCUGCUGUGAAAGUCCAGGGCUCAACCCUGGGAUGCCGGUGGAUACUGUCGAGCUCGAGUCCGGAAGAGGCGAGUGGAAUUCCUGGUGUAGCGGUGAAAUGCGCAGAUAUCAGGAAGAACACCCGUGGCGAAGGCGGCUCUCUGGUACGUGACUGACGCUGAGACGCGAAAGCGUGGGGAGCGAACAGG
This 253-nucleotide ribosomal RNA is filed under the name uncultured bacterium. RNAcentral's name for it is "partial 16S ribosomal RNA". It matches the Rfam family "Bacterial small subunit ribosomal RNA", at positions 524 to 776 of the family's 1533-position model. The record is from RNAcentral.